UCUAGAUAAAGGUUCAUCUGAAAUUGCAGGUUCACCAACUAAUUUGACUGUAGUACCUUCCCAAUUAAAAGCCAUGAACAUUUCUUCAUAAUUGGACAUGAUAGUUCCUAAAGUUUUCAUCCACUGGAUUCCCAAUAUUACAUUUGAUCCAGCCAUUGACAGCAAGUAUAAAUCUACUGUUAUUAUUAUGCCCUGUACCAGAAUUUUAACAUCUUUGCACAUUGUAUUACAUCCCAACCUUUCACCACUUCCAGU
This 255-nucleotide long non-coding RNA is filed under the name Zostera marina. Its description in RNAcentral is "long non-coding RNA (ZMAR_LNC000779)". The record is from RNAcentral. Lineage: Eukaryota; Viridiplantae; Streptophyta; Magnoliopsida; Alismatales; Zosteraceae.